UACGGAGGGUGCAAGCGUUGUUCGGAAUCAUUGGGCGUAAAGCGCGUGUAGGCGGCUAGGCAAGUCGGUUGUGAAAGCCCGGGGCCCAACCCCGGAAUUGCAUCUGAAACUGCCUGGCUAGAGUCCCGGAGAGGAAGGCAGAAUUCCCGGUGUAGGGGUGAAAUCCGUAGAUAUCGGGAGGAAUACCAGUGGCGAAGGCGGUUGCCUGGGGCUUUGCUGACGCUGAGGCGCGAAAGCGUGGGGAGCGAUCCGG
RNAcentral lists this ribosomal RNA (253 nucleotides) under uncultured bacterium. Its description in RNAcentral is "partial 16S ribosomal RNA". It matches the Rfam family "Bacterial small subunit ribosomal RNA", at positions 524 to 776 of the family's 1533-position model. The record is from RNAcentral.